RNAcentral lists this long non-coding RNA (485 nucleotides) under Nicotiana tabacum (common tobacco). RNAcentral describes it as "long non-coding RNA (NTAB_LNC014156)". The record is from RNAcentral. Lineage: Eukaryota; Viridiplantae; Streptophyta; Magnoliopsida; Solanales; Solanaceae.
AGCUUAAGGAAGCAGAUAGUUUCUGUUCUCCGAAGUCCGUAUUCUGAUUCAUCAGCUAUUGGUAAGUUAAGUUUUCGAUUAGCAACGGAAUUCGAGUUAGUUAGUGACUUAGUUAGCUACUUAAUUAUCUUGAAACGGAAUGUUUUAUGAUUUUUUCUAAUUUUGUUUUUUGUGGUGAUGAUUUGGUUGUAUUUCUGUUCUUUCAAUUUCUAGGAUUUUCUGGCAAGACUCUGAGAACCCCGUUAAAGCUCAAUGAGAACGAAUCCAGUGGUCUUACCAAUUCAAGGUUUAUCUUCUAUCCUUAGACUAGUUUGGUUUAUGAACAAGUUUAUGGGAUUAUAAUGUGGGGAUUAUAAUAUGGGGAUCAAAUAAUGGCGGGAAUAUUUUGGUGGAUAUUUGAUAGAUGUUUGGUUCAUUUGACUAAAAAUGUGAUGUGCGGGGUAUAAUAUAAGCAUGUCUUUUGUUAAGCUAGAUAAACUUCGAUA